RNAcentral lists this transfer RNA (63 nucleotides) under Hoplopleura sp. Its description in RNAcentral is "tRNA-Gly". Lineage: Eukaryota; Metazoa; Arthropoda; Insecta; Psocodea; Hoplopleuridae. The record is from RNAcentral.
ACCUUCUUAGUAUAGAAAGUACAGUUGACUUCCACUUAGCGGGUUCCUUUAGGGAAGAAGGUA